UAGGGAAUAUUGCGCAAUGGGGGAAACCCUGACGCAGCGAUGCCGCGUGAGUGAUGAAGGCCUUCGGGUCGUAAAGCUCUGUCGUAUGGGAAUAACAUAAUGAAUGUACCAUGCAAGAAAGGAUCGGCUAACUUCGUGCCAGCAGCCGCGGUAAGACGAGGGAUCCUAGCGUUGUUCGGAAUCAUUGGGCGUAAAGCGGGUGUAGGCGGACUUUUAAGUCAGAUGUGAAAUCCCAGGGCUCAACCCUGGACGUGCAUUUGAUACUGGAAGUCUUGAGUGUGGUAGAGGCUAUUGGAAUUGUUGGUGUAGUGGUGAAAUACGUAGAUAUCAACAGGAAUACCGGAGGCGAAGGCGGAUAGCUGGGCCAACACUGACGCUGAGACCCGAAAGCGUGGGGAUCAAACAG
This 406-nucleotide ribosomal RNA is filed under the name uncultured bacterium. RNAcentral's name for it is "bacterial SSU rRNA". It matches the Rfam family "Bacterial small subunit ribosomal RNA", at positions 355 to 775 of the family's 1533-position model. The record is from RNAcentral.